AGAUCAGGAACCGCCGCAGUCCCGCUCGCCUCCCUGCUUGCCUGUCCCCCUUUCUUUAUUUCUCGCGCCCCUCGCCAAGGGUCCUCCAUUUCUCCAAACCGGAUUAUUUAAAAGAGUAAAAGAAAGAAAGAAAGAAAAAAGUCCAUCUCAUUGCUCUAACCGCCAUUCAGGAGGCUGGAUGUCAGUUUUGAAAGAAACGGCGCUAUUCUCCACUUCUAGAUUUGGGAAACGAGCGAAAUUAAAGAAAAUUGCUGCGACAUCUGGACACUGAGUGGCGCUGGCGCCGCUGGAGCAGCGGGCACAGCGCCGGACCAGGUGAGAAAACUGAGGCCUAGAGGAACUCAUAUCUUGGAUACUUUAUGGCCAGCAGGUGCCAGGACUGGAAUCACUAAGAGGGUCUUUGAACUACAAGUCUUGUGCUCUUUCUGUUUUACUAAAGACCAGAGUCAAUAGGGAGUGAGCUAUUGAUGGGUCAUUUGUGCAGACAGAAGAUCACUGAAUAUUGGAGCUUUUCUUUGUUCUCUUCCUUUGGCCUAAAAACUGACUCAGAGAAUGGAGGAAAAUGAUUUUCUGUUUUUUAAAAUGAUUUUCUAUUUUGGAUCAGCAAAUUCAUCCCUCAGGCAGAGACAGGAGAGGGCAUUUUUUUUUAACAUUCCUUGUCUGUGCCACCCCACCCAACCUCCAGCCCUGACAUUCCAGGACAUUGGCUUUUUCCUUCAGAUAUCCCUUGAUUAUCAAAAUUCGGUGAGAAAUUUCCUUAAAUAUUGCACAUGCUCAAACUGAAAGCUCCAAAGGUAUAAGACAAAAGACACUGUAAGAUAAAUAAACUAUUAUUUGGACAUAUAUAACAAAACAUCAACCUCUAGAAUAUGUAAAUAAAUACAUAAAUGAGAAAAAAAUACCUUUUGGAAAAAUUAGCAAAUAAUAUGAUGGCUAAGUGAUAUACAAAUAGUCAAAUGGCCAAAAUUAGGAAAAUAUAUUGUUUUACUCAUUAGUAAAGAAAUGUAACAAAAAAUGCUGACAUAUACCUAUAUGUGUGGCAAAAAUAAAAGGAGUGAUAACAUUAGCAAAGUUGUGAGAAAAUAAUCAUUCUUAUAUACUAUUGUAACUUGGGGCAUUCAUUUUGAGAGGCAACUUUGCAGUACUUAUCAAAACUGUAUGUGCGUAUACAUACCCUUUGACUCAGCAAUUCCACUCCUAGAACCUACAUAAUUAUGCAAAUAUAUACACACAUAAAUAUAUGUAUGGAAAUAUAUAUUAUAUAUGCAGUGUGUGCAUAUAUAUAUGUAUAGCAAUGAAUAUUACAUAUGUAUGCAUGUAUGCAUUACCCUUCGACUCAGCAAUUCCACUCCUAUAAGUGGAAUUAUGUAAGUAUGAAAACAUGCCCCUGACUCUGUGGGCAGAGCAGAGGUUUGGAAACCAAAUUUCUGAAAUAGAACCUUUCAUGUCUCUGUU
This 1455-nucleotide long non-coding RNA is filed under the name Sus scrofa (pig). RNAcentral's name for it is "lncRNA (ENSSSCG00025046241.1)". The record is from RNAcentral. Lineage: Eukaryota; Metazoa; Chordata; Mammalia; Artiodactyla; Suidae.